GAGGAAUAUUGGUCAAUGGGCGGGAGCCUGAACCAGCCAAGUCGCGUGAAGGAAGAAGGAUCUAUGGUUCGUAAACUUCUUUUGCAGGGGAAUAAAGUGCAGGACGUGUCCUGUUUUGUAUGUACCCUGAGAAUAAGGAUCGGCUAACUCCGUGCCAGCAGCCGCGGUAAUACGGAGGAUCCGAGCGUUAUCCGGAUUUAUUGGGUUUAAAGGGUGCGUAGGUGGUUUGAUAAGUCAGCGGUGAAAGUUUGCAGCUUAACUGUAAAAAUGCCGUUGAAACUGUCGGACUUGAGUGUAAAUGAGGUAGGCGGAAUGCGUGGUGUAGCGGUGAAAUGCAUAGAUAUCACGCAGAACUCCGAUUGCGAAGGCAGCUUACUAAGCUACAACUGACACUGAAGCACGAAAGCGUGGGGAUCAAACA
RNAcentral lists this ribosomal RNA (421 nucleotides) under uncultured bacterium. RNAcentral describes it as "bacterial SSU rRNA". It matches the Rfam family "Bacterial small subunit ribosomal RNA", at positions 356 to 774 of the family's 1533-position model. The record is from RNAcentral. RNAcentral also lists the same sequence under 1 other name.